UGGGGAAUAUUGGACAAUGGGGCAACCCUGAUCCAGCAAUGCCGCGUGUGUGAAGAAGGUCUUCGGAUUGUAAAGCACUUUCGACGGGGACGAUGAUGACGGUACCCGUAGAAGAAGCCCCGGCUAACUUCGUGCCAGCAGCCGCGGUAAUACGAAGGGGGCUAGCGUUGCUCGGAAUGACUGGGCGUAAAGGGCGUGUAGGCGGUUUACACAGUCAGAUGUGAAAUCCCCGGGCUUAACCUGGGAGCUGCAUUUGAUACGUGUAGACUAGAGUGUGAGAGAGGGUUGUGGAAUUCCCAGUGUAGAGGUGAAAUUCGUAGAUAUUGGGAAGAACACCGGUGGCGAAGGCGGCAACCUGGCUCAUGACUGACGCUGAGGCGCGAAAGCGUGGGGAGCAAACAGGAUUAGAUACCCUGGUAGUCCACGCUGUAAACGAUGUGUGCUAGAUGUUGGGUAACUUU
This 461-nucleotide ribosomal RNA is filed under the name uncultured bacterium. RNAcentral describes it as "partial 16S ribosomal RNA". It matches the Rfam family "Bacterial small subunit ribosomal RNA", at positions 355 to 834 of the family's 1533-position model. The record is from RNAcentral.